GUGGGGAAUAUUGGACAAUGGGCGCAAGCCUGAUCCAGCCAUGCCGCGUGAGUGAUGAAGGCCUUAGGGUUGUAAAGCUCUUUCAGUGGGGACGAUAAUGACGGUACCCACAGAAGAAGCCCCGGCUAACUUCGUGCCAGCAGCCGCGGUAAUACGAAGGGGGCUAGCGUUGUUCGGAUUUACUGGGCGUAAAGCGCACGGAGGCGGAUCGUUAAGUCGGGGGUGAAAUCCUGGAGCUCAACUCCAGACCUGUCUUCGAUACUGGCGAUCUUGAGUCCGGAAUAGGUGAGUGGAACUCCUAGUGUAGAGGUGGAAUUCGUAGAUAUUAGGAAGAACACCAGUGGCGAAGGCGGCUCACUGGUCCGGUACUGACGCUGAGGUGCGAAAGCGUGGGGAGCAAACAGGAUUAGAUACCCGAGUAGUCC
This 425-nucleotide ribosomal RNA is filed under the name uncultured bacterium. RNAcentral describes it as "partial 16S ribosomal RNA". It matches the Rfam family "Bacterial small subunit ribosomal RNA", at positions 354 to 796 of the family's 1533-position model. The record is from RNAcentral.